Molecule: ribosomal RNA, 1554 nt
Filed under: Escherichia coli
Lineage: Bacteria; Pseudomonadati; Pseudomonadota; Gammaproteobacteria; Enterobacterales; Enterobacteriaceae
Description: bacterial SSU rRNA
Rfam family: Bacterial small subunit ribosomal RNA
Source: RNAcentral
AAAUUGAAGAGUUUGAUCAUGGCUCAGAUUGAACGCUGGCGGCAGGCCUAACACAUGCAAGUCGAACGGUAACAGGAAGAAGCUUGCUUCUUUGCUGACGAGUGGCGGACGGGUGAGUAAUGUCUGGGAAACUGCCUGAUGGAGGGGGAUAACUACUGGAAACGGUAGCUAAUACCGCAUAACGUCGCAAGACCAAAGAGGGGGACCUUCGGGCCUCUUGCCAUCGGAUGUGCCCAGAUGGGAUUAGCUAGUAGGUGGGGUAACGGCUCACCAAGGCGACGAUCCCUAGCUGGUCUGAGAGGAUGACCAGCCACACUGGAACUGAGACACGGUCCAGACUCCUACGGGAGGCAGCAGUGGGGAAUAUUGCACAAUGGGCGCAAGCCUGAUGCAGCCAUGCCGCGUGUAUGAAGAAGGCCUUCGGGUUGUAAAGUACUUUCAGCGGGGAGGAAGGGAGUAAAGUUAAUACCUUUGCUCAUUGACGUUACCCGCAGAAGAAGCACCGGCUAACUCCGUGCCAGCAGCCGCGGUAAUACGGAGGGUGCAAGCGUUAAUCGGAAUUACUGGGCGUAAAGCGCACGCAGGCGGUUUGUUAAGUCAGAUGUGAAAUCCCCGGGCUCAACCUGGGAACUGCAUCUGAUACUGGCAAGCUUGAGUCUCGUAGAGGGGGGUAGAAUUCCAGGUGUAGCGGUGAAAUGCGUAGAGAUCUGGAGGAAUACCGGUGGCGAAGGCGGCCCCCUGGACGAAGACUGACGCUCAGGUGCGAAAGCGUGGGGAGCAAACAGGAUUAGAUACCCUGGUAGUCCACGCCGUAAACGAUGUCGACUUGGAGGUUGUGCCCUUGAGGCGUGGCUUCCGGAGCUAACGCGUUAAGUCGACCGCCUGGGGAGUACGGCCGCAAGGUUAAAACUCAAAUGAAUUGACGGGGGCCCGCACAAGCGGUGGAGCAUGUGGUUUAAUUCGAUGCAACGCGAAGAACCUUACCUGGUCUUGACAUCCACGGAAGUUUUCAGAGAUGAGAAUGUGCCUUCGGGAACCGUGAGACAGGUGCUGCAUGGCUGUCGUCAGCUCGUGUUGUGAAAUGUUGGGUUAAGUCCCGCAACGAGCGCAACCCUUAUCCUUUGUUGCCAGCGGUCCGGCCGGGAACUCAAAGGAGACUGCCAGUGAUAAACUGGAGGAAGGUGGGGAUGACGUCAAGUCAUCAUGGCCCUUACGACCAGGGCUACACACGUGCUACAAUGGCGCAUACAAAGAGAAGCGACCUCGCGAGAGCAAGCGGACCUCAUAAAGUGCGUCGUAGUCCGGAUUGGAGUCUGCAACUCGACUCCAUGAAGUCGGAAUCGCUAGUAAUCGUGGAUCAGAAUGCCACGGUGAAUACGUUCCCGGGCCUUGUACACACCGCCCGUCACACCAUGGGAGUGGGUUGCAAAAGAAGUAGGUAGCUUAACCUUCGGGAGGGCGCUUACCACUUUGUGAUUCAUGACUGGGGUGAAGUCGUAACAAGGUAACCGUAGGGGAACCUGCGGUUGGAUCACCUCCUUACCUUAAAGAAGC